This 434-nucleotide ribosomal RNA is filed under the name uncultured bacterium. RNAcentral describes it as "partial 16S ribosomal RNA". It matches the Rfam family "Bacterial small subunit ribosomal RNA", at positions 29 to 507 of the family's 1533-position model. The record is from RNAcentral.
AGCGAACGCUGGCGGCAGGCCUAACACAUGCAAGUCGAACGAACUCUUCGGAGUUAGUGGCGGACGGGUGAGUAACACGUGGGAACGUGCCUUUUGGUUCGGAAUAACUCGGGGAAACUUGUGCUAAUACCGAAUGUGCCCUUCGGGGGGAAAGAUUUAUCGCCAUUAGAGCGGCCCGCGUCUGAUUAGCUAGUUGGUGAGGUAACGGCUCACCAAGGCGACGAUCAGUAGCUGGUCUGAGAGGAUGACCAGCCACACUGGGACUGAGACACGGCCCAGACUCCUACGGGAGGCAGCAGUGGGGAAUCUUGCGCAAUGGGCGAAAGCCUGACGCAGCCAUGCCGCGUGAAUGAUGAAGGUCUUAGGAUUGUAAAAUUCUUUCACCGGGGACGAUAAUGACGGUACCCGGAGAAGAAGCCCCGGCUAACUUCGUG